GUCCGGAGACGUCGGCGGGGG
This 21-nucleotide small RNA is filed under the name Arabidopsis thaliana (thale cress). RNAcentral's name for it is "Ath_wt_19188". Lineage: Eukaryota; Viridiplantae; Streptophyta; Magnoliopsida; Brassicales; Brassicaceae. The record is from RNAcentral.